AUGCGACAGCGAUUGUAAUGGAAAUCCUUUUUACGAUGCGUGCUAGCGAAGUAAAAAGAUUGGAAUAAAAAGCGCGGUUGUCG
Molecule: small RNA, 83 nt
Filed under: Chishuiella changwenlii
Lineage: Bacteria; Pseudomonadati; Bacteroidota; Flavobacteriia; Flavobacteriales; Weeksellaceae
Description: Flavo-1 RNA
Rfam family: Flavo-1 RNA
Source: RNAcentral